This 435-nucleotide long non-coding RNA is filed under the name Mus musculus (house mouse). Its description in RNAcentral is "long non-coding RNA chr19:56724426-56724861". The record is from RNAcentral. Lineage: Eukaryota; Metazoa; Chordata; Mammalia; Rodentia; Muridae.
AGCACGGUUCACCUUGCUUUCUCCUAGAGGGCAAACCUUGUGCCCUGCGCGCCUCGGUGGUCCUGCUGUGGGUCCUCUACCUCACUCUGUGCAUAUUGCACAGCAAGAUAGAAAGACUUGUUUAUAUUAAACAGCUUAUUUAUGUAUCAAUACUAGUUGGAAGGACCAGGCGCUGAGUCUCUCUCUGUGACAUGUGACUCUGUCAACUAAAGAUAGGACAGAACAAAAAGGAAACAGUUGAGAUUAUUGCACAUGUGGCUAAAAACAAAGACGGCAAAAAAAAAAAAAAAAGGCAGUGGUUGGAAGGCCAUUUUGCACAGUGUUAGGCAUUGUAAAAUUCAUAGAAGUUGUUAACUUGCACAAAAAAAAUUAAAUAUUUUUACUGGGAUGGGGAGGUGGGCAGAUCUUUAAAAAGCUAAAAUAAAAUUCAAACUC